UAGCGCCUCGUGAAUUCAUCUCCGGGGGUAGAGCACUGUUUCGGCUAGGGGGUCAUCCCGACUUACCAACCCGAUGCAAACUGCGAAUACCGGAGAAUGUUAUCACGGGAGACACACGGCGGGUGCUAACGUUCGUCGUGAAGAGGGAAACAACCCAGACCGCCGGCUAAGGUCCCAAAGUCAUAAUUAAGUGGGAAACGAAGUGGGAAGGCUCAGACAGCCAGGAUGUUGGCUUAGAAGCAGCCAUCAUUUAAAGAAAGCGUAAUAGCUCACUGGUCGAGUCGGCCUGCGCGGAAGAUGUAACGGGGCUAAAUUAUGCACCGAAGCCGCGGCAGCGAUAUGUAAAUAUUGUUGGGUAGGGGAGCG
Molecule: ribosomal RNA, 366 nt
Filed under: Morganella morganii subsp. morganii
Lineage: Bacteria; Pseudomonadati; Pseudomonadota; Gammaproteobacteria; Enterobacterales; Morganellaceae
Description: partial 23S ribosomal RNA
Rfam family: Bacterial large subunit ribosomal RNA
Source: RNAcentral